GUAGGCAGCAAGCGUUGUUCGGAGUUACUGGGCGUAAAGAGUGCGUAGGCGGUGCCCUAAGUCUGUUGUGAAAUCUCCCGGCUUAACUGGGAGGGUGCGGUGGAAACUGGGGUGCUUGAGUGUGGGAGAGGUUAGCGGAAUUCCUGGUGUAGCGGUGAAAUGCGUAGAUAUCAGGAGGAACACCGGUGGUGUAGACGGCUGACUGGACCACGACUGACGCUGAGGCACGAAAGCGUGGGUAGCAAACAGGAUUAGAUACCCUGGUAGUCCACGCCCUAAACGAUGCAUACUUGGUGUGAGCCAUUCAUUUGGUUCGUGCCGGAGCUAACGCGUUAAGUAUGCCGCCUGGGGAGUACGGUCGCAAGGCUG
RNAcentral lists this ribosomal RNA (369 nucleotides) under uncultured bacterium. RNAcentral describes it as "bacterial SSU rRNA". It matches the Rfam family "Bacterial small subunit ribosomal RNA", at positions 527 to 896 of the family's 1533-position model. The record is from RNAcentral.